AGUGAACGCUGGCGGUAGGCCUAACACAUGCAAGUCGAACGGCAGCACAGUAAGAGCUUGCUCUUACGGGUGGCGAGUGGCGGACGGGUGAGGAAUACAUCGGAAUCUACUUUUUCGUGGGGGAUAACGUAGGGAAACUUACGCUAAUACCGCAUACGACCUACGGGUGAAAGCAGGGGAUCUUCGGACCUUGCGCGAUUGAAUGAGCCGAUGUCGGAUUAGCUAGUUGGCGGGGUAAAGGCCCACCAAGGCGACGAUCCGUAGCUGGUCUGAGAGGAUGACCAGCCCCGCUGGAACUGAGACACGGCCCAGCCUCCUAGGGGAGGCAGCAGUGGGGAAUAUUGGAAAAGGGGCGCAAGCCUGAUCCAGCCAUACCGCGGGGGUGAAGAAGGCCUUGGGGUUGUAAACCCCUUUUGUUGGGAAAAAAAAGCAGCAGGUUAAUACCCCGUUGUUCUGACGGUACCCAAAGAAUAGGCACCGGCUAACUUCU
RNAcentral lists this ribosomal RNA (490 nucleotides) under uncultured bacterium. RNAcentral's name for it is "partial 16S ribosomal RNA". It matches the Rfam family "Bacterial small subunit ribosomal RNA", at positions 29 to 505 of the family's 1533-position model. The record is from RNAcentral.